AUUGAACGCUGGCGGCAGGCUUAACACAUGCAAGUCGAGCGGAGCGAGGGUGCUUGCACCUUAGCUUAGCGGCGGACGGGUGAGUAAUGCUUAGGAAUCUGCCUAUUAGUGGGGGACGACAUUCCGAAAGGAAUGCUAAUACCGCAUACGCCCUACGGGGGAAAGCAGGGGAUCUUCGGACCUUGCGCUAAUAGAUGAGCCUAAGUCGGAUUAGCUAGUUGGUGGGGUAAAGGCCUACCAAGGCGACGAUCUGUAGCGGGUCUGAGAGGAUGAUCCGCCACACUGGGACUGAGACACGGCCCAGACUCCUACGGGAGGCAGCAGUGGGGAAUAUUGGACAACGGGCGGAAGCCUGAUCCAGCCAUGCCGCGUGUGUGAAGAAGACCUUUUGGUUGUAAAGCACUUUAAGCGAGGAGGAGGCUACUUAGAUUAAUACUCUGGGAUAGUGGACGUUACUCGCAGAAUAAGCACCGGCUAACUCUGUGCCAGCCGCCGCGGUAA
RNAcentral lists this ribosomal RNA (501 nucleotides) under uncultured bacterium. RNAcentral describes it as "partial 16S ribosomal RNA". It matches the Rfam family "Bacterial small subunit ribosomal RNA", at positions 30 to 523 of the family's 1533-position model. The record is from RNAcentral.